This 3935-nucleotide long non-coding RNA is filed under the name Olea europaea subsp. europaea. Lineage: Eukaryota; Viridiplantae; Streptophyta; Magnoliopsida; Lamiales; Oleaceae. The record is from RNAcentral.
CACCAAUUCGAAAGAGAAAUAUUUCGACCCUAAACCUCGCACCCCCACCCGGCCUCCUCUCUGGUGGCUUCCCCAUUUCCACGUUCCCUAAUGACCUCUCCCAUCAAUGCGCCACCACUGCCACCAUUUAUACCAUUGCCCCCAAAUGCUAUUCGGAUUCUAUUCUACAUCAACAACUCAUGAACUCUCUAAUCAACAAUAUCGUCAUCAGCGGCAGCGACAUUUCUCGAAAUGGUAAAGGCCCUCAAAUUCCAAUCCCCACCCUUGAUUCGCUUCUCCAAAAUCUCUAGAAGUUGCUGCCCUUUACCCAUCUCCCUCCUUUUCUCCUCACAACCGGUUCAACAAGAAAAUCUUGAACAAGAGCAUCAUAUUUCAUCCAGCUUAGUCUCCAGAGUGUGCGAAAUCCUAUCCAAUCGGAGAGUCGAUUGGCGGCGAAGCUCGGAGCUAGAGUCCUUGAGCUUGAAGCUCAAACCCCACCAUGUUGCCAAAAUAAUCGAAACCCACAAUAGCACCGACUUAGUUUUGCAGUUUUUUUAUUGGGUUUCUAAGAGGCCUUUCUACAAACAUGAUUUGAGCUGUUAUGUUUCUAUGUUGAAUAGGCUGGUUAAAAAUAAGAUUUUUACGCACGCUGACCAUGUUAGGAUUCUUUUCAUUAAAGCCUGUAGGAAUGAGGGAGAACUUAGAAAGGUUCUUGAUUUUUUGAAUGAGAUUAGUAAAAUGGGUCUUUCUUGUAGUCUGUAUAGUUUUAAUACUUUGUUGAUUCAAUUGGGCAAGUUUGAUAUGGUGGUCAUGGCUCAGAAUGUGUAUAAGGAAUUGUUGAAUAGUGGGAUCAAACCAAAUUUGUUGACUUUGAAUACCAUGAUUAAUAUCUUCUGUAAGAAGGGGAAGGUUGAAGAGGCUGAAAUUAUAUUGAGUCGCAUUUACCAGUAUGAAAUGUUGCCGGAUGUGUUCACAUACACAUCAUUGAUUCUUGGGCAUUGUAGAACUAGGAAUUUAGUUAAGGCGUUUGUUGUUUUUGAUCAGAUGGUGAAGAAGGGCAUUGAUCCAAAUUCGGUAACAUAUACUACUCUUAUCAAUGGGCUAUGUGAAAAUGGAAGAGUGGACGAGGCACUGGGCAUGAUAGAGGAGAUGAUUGAGAAAGGGAUUGAACCAACCAUAUAUACCUACACGGUGCCUAUUACUGCAUUGCUUGCAGUUGGGCGCAUGAAUGACGCUAUCAAUCUAGUCGCUAGCAUGAAAGAGAGAGGUUGCCAUCCCAAUGUUCAGACCUAUACUGCUCUUAUUAGUGGGUUGGGCAAAUCCAGUCAACUUGAGGUAGCUGUUGGAUUGUACCAUAAGAUGUUGAGAAAGGGCUUGAUGCCAACGGCAGUCACAUACAAUGCUUUGAUAAAUGAAUUGUGUGAGGGUGGGAAACUUGAUACUGCCUUUCGAAUUUUUCAUUGGAUGGAGGGACAUGGUUACUUGCCAAAUGCUCAAACCUAUAAUGCAAUGAUAAAAGGACUCUGUAUGAUUGGAAAUUUUGAGAGGGCGAUGAUUCUAUAUAACGAAAUGCUGAAGGUGGGUCCUGCACCUACAGUGAUUACGUACAACACUCUCAUUAAUGGAUACCUGGAAAGGGGUUUUCUGGACAAUGCUAUGAGAUUAUUAGAGGUGAUGAAGGAAAGUGGUUGUCAACCAGAUGAAUGGACAUAUGCAGAACUUGUUUCAGGUUUUUGCGAAAGGGGGAAGCUUGAUAUGGCUUCUGCACUUUUUCAGGAAAUGAUGCAACGAGGUUUGAGCCCAAAUCAGGUGAACUACACCACUUUGAUCGAUGGCCUUUGCAAGGAAGGGAAAGUUGAUGAUUCACUGAUAUUAUUUGAAGGAAUGUUCAAGAGUGGUUGUGAUCCAGAUAUUGAGACUUACAACUCGGUUAUAAAUGGUUUGUCGAGAGGGAACAGGCUUUCUGAAGCAGAGAAACUAUGCAAUAAGAUGGUAGAAAGUGGACUUCUUCCAAACGUGAUAACCUACACAACUUUAAUUGAUGGUCUGUGUAAGAAUGGUGGAACACAUCUUGCAUUCAAGAUUUUCCAUGAAAUGGAGAAAAGGAAUUGCUUACCAAACUUGUACACUUAUAGUUCACUAAUCCAUGGAUUAUGUUUGGAAGGUCAGGCUGAUCGUGCAGAGAUGUUACUUGAAGAAAUGGCGAGCAAAAAGUUAUCUCCUGAUCAGGUCACAUAUACUUCAUUGAUUGAUGGGUUUGUCACCCUGGGUAGAUUAAAUCACGCAUUUGAACUUCUUCAUCUGAUGGUACAUGCGGGCUGCAAACCUAACUACCGAACAUUCUGUGUGUUGCUGAAAGGGUUGCAAAAGGAAUGUCGGAUGCUUGCAGAAAAAGUUGCAGUCCAACAUGAAACAGUCUACAGCUGCAAUGCAGAUGAGAAGGAUUUUACAUAUGAUACUUUAUGUAAUCUCUUAGUUAGGUUGUCCGAGAUUCACUAUGAACCUUCUGUUGAUACAUAUUGCUGUUUAAUUGCUGGCCUCUGUAGAGGUGGCAAAUUGUAUGAGGCAGAACAGUUGGUUAAAUAUAUGAAAGAGAAAGGGCUAAGUCCUAAUGAUGCAAUUUAUUGCUCUCUCCUCAGUGCUUACUGCAAGUAUUUGAGAAUGGAGCCUGCUCUAGAAGUAUUUAAUUUAUUAGUUGUCAGAGGUUUCAAUCCUUCUUUAUCAAUUUAUAGACAACUUAUUUCCUCUCUUUGCAAGAUAAAUUGGGUCAAAGAGGCCGAAAUUUUGUUUGAGAACAUGCUUGAGAAACAAUGGAAUACUGAUGAAAUUGUUUGGACUAUCUUGCUUGAUGGAUUGCUCAAGGAGGGGGAAUCAAUAGUAUGCUUGAAGCUUCUUCAUACUAUGAUCUCUAAGAAUUACUCUAUCAGUUUGCAAACAUAUGUCAUGCUGGCAAGAGAAUUAUCCAAAGUUGACCAAUCUAUUGAUAUGAACCAAGUUGCUGAUAAAUUGCAAAGCCUGAGAAAGAAAAAACCAGGCUGAAGUCUUCAUUUUAAUGAAUUGACCGCAUAGAAAACAUAUUGCCUUCUCUUGGAAGACAGAUCCUCCUGCACUUUGUCCCUUGCUAUUUCACUUGAUUCCAAUGGCCCUUUUGCAGCAUCUGUAAAUAUAAUUUUUGAGCUGCAAUCUAUGAUCAAUGAGUGGUAAGCCUAUUGUACUUUUCGAUGGGAAUCUUGAUGGCCCGAGUUUAUAUUUUGUUUUUAUUUGCAUGGUUUAAUUGAAGCUCAUUAAAAGAAACAAAAUUAGUUUACUGAGGUUGUUACUGUAUUGUUGUUCUGUCAUAAUAUGUGAGUUUUCCAAUGGUAUACAGGUUAACUGGUUACAGAAGAACUCACCUAACUAGGAUCACCAACACAUGGGGUCUGAUUCAGGGAAUUUGUCAUGAUGACAGGACGAGGGAGAUGUAGCCUGUAUUGAACUUAUCAUUUCAGGUAAGUGGUGAACGCCUGAAUCUUUGAAUUUAAGCUCCGCUUUAGAAUUUAAUUAGCUAUAUAGUGAUAAUAACAAUAUUGAGGUUCCACCAUAACUUAAAGAAGAACAAGCACCUGUAAAGCAAUAAGUUGGAAAUUAAUUGAUAACUGAUAAAAUAUAAUAAUGCAACUGUUUAAUAUCUUUUCAGUACUUGGUCGCUACCACAAUAAAGUAGCCAUCUAAAACCAAAUAACAAGUGAAAACUAAUGGAAAGUUGUUGCAACUCUUGUUCUUGUUUCAGAAUUUGUAACAUAAAACUUUGGGACAGGCUGCUUGCUUUUUAUGCAAAUGCAAACAAAGAAGCAGCUUAGAAUUGCAUAUUUUCUUGGGCUUGGCUUAAUUUAUGGAUUAUUUUAUAUUAUGGUACUGUAAUUAAUUCCUUUAAAUAAGUGGAUAGGAAUAUAUUUUGUAGUUCGGAAUAUUCUAGG